This 253-nucleotide ribosomal RNA is filed under the name uncultured bacterium. RNAcentral describes it as "partial 16S ribosomal RNA". It matches the Rfam family "Bacterial small subunit ribosomal RNA", at positions 524 to 776 of the family's 1533-position model. The record is from RNAcentral.
UACGAAGGGUGCAAACGUUGCUCGGAAUUAUUGGGCGUAAAGCGCACGUAGGCGGUAUUGCAAGUCGGAUGUGAAAUCCCUCGGCUUAACCAAGGAAGUGCAUCCGAAACUGCUGUACUUGAGUACGAAAGAGGAUCGCGGAAUUCCCGGUGUAGAGGUGGAAUUCGUAGAUAUCGGGAGGAACACCAGUGGCGAAGGCGGCGAUCUGGGUCGAUACUGACGCUGAGGUGCGAAAGCGUGGGGAGCAAACAGG